This is a long non-coding RNA of Diprion similis, 301 nucleotides long. RefSeq lists it as uncharacterized. The transcript has 4 exons. Lineage: Eukaryota; Metazoa; Arthropoda; Insecta; Hymenoptera; Diprionidae. The record is from RefSeq and is a predicted model, not a curated record.
UCAUUCCCUACACGGCACUAUUCCGAUCCUGUUGUGAUUGUUGUAUAUACAGUUAGUAAUAACCAUAUUAAUAUUAGCAUACUAUAUGAAGACUAUAUGUGUUACAGCAGAGCACAGUGAACUUUUCGUUAUCUUCCUCUGAAUACCCAAAAAUCUUUUCAAAUAUAUUAUGAUUUUUAUUACAAUUUAAAAGCAAUAUUUAAAUUCGAAACAAUUUAUCGUAAAUAUUCGCAGUAGAUAUACACACACACACAGGUAUAUAUAUAGGUAUAUAUAUAUAUACCUACAUUGAAUUUACAAU